This 468-nucleotide ribosomal RNA is filed under the name uncultured bacterium. RNAcentral's name for it is "partial 16S ribosomal RNA". It matches the Rfam family "Bacterial small subunit ribosomal RNA", at positions 28 to 507 of the family's 1533-position model. The record is from RNAcentral.
GACGAACGCUGGCGGCGUGCUUAACACAUGCAAGUCGAACGGAAAGGCCCUGCUUUUGUGGGGUGCUCGAGUGGCGAACGGGUGAGUAACACGUGAGUAACCUGCCCUUGACUUUGGGAUAACUUCAGGAAACUGGGGCUAAUACCGGAUAGGAGCUCCUGCUGCAUGGUGGGGGUUGGAAAGUUUCGGCGGUUGGGGAUGGACUCGCGGCUUAUCAGCUUGUUGGUGGGGUAGUGGCUUACCAAGGCUUUGACGGGUAGCCGGCCUGAGAGGGUGACCGGCCACAUUGGGACUGAGAGACGGCCCAGACUCCUACGGGAGGCAGCAGUGGGGAAUAUUGCACAAUGGGCGGAAGCCUGAUGCAACAACGCCGCGUGCGGGAUGACGGCCUUCGGGUUGUAAACCGCUUUCGCCUGUGACGAAGCGUGAGUGACGGUAAUGGGUAAAGAAGCACCGGCUAACUACGUG